CAUUUUAUAAUUAAAUUUCUAAUGGUUUUCUAAUAAUUAUACAUGUUUGUGAUAACUUACCUUUUUGCUUAUGUAAUUGGUUUAAUUUCACCAAAGAAACUAGGAACUGUUUCUUUUAUUAUUUAUAGAAGCAAUAUUUAUAAUGUCUGACAAAUGUGUGACUUUGGAAAGUAAAAAUUUUUACUUUGUUGCAUGACUAAAGAGCUUAAUGAUUAAGAGAGAGUUGGCAAAAGAUUCUGAAUUACGAUCACAAAGUUGGGAGAGAUUUUUGCCGCAGUUCAAACAUAAAAAUGUGAAUAAACGCAAAGAACCAAAGAAAAAAACUGUUAAGAAAGAAUAUACGCCAUUCCCACCACCACAACCAGAAAGUCAGAUUGAUAAAGAAUUGGCUAGUGGUGAAUACUUUUUGAAGGCAAAUCAGAAGAAGCGGCAGAAAAUGGAAGCAAUAAAGGCUAAACAAGCAGAAGCCAUCAGUAAGAGACAAGAGGAAAGAAACAAAGCAUUUAUUCCACCUAAGGAAAAACCAAUUGUGAAACCUAAGGAAGCUUCUGCUGAAACUAAAAUUGAUGUGGCCAGCAUCAAGGAAAAGGUUAAGAAAGCAAAGAAUAAGAAACUGGGAGCUCUUACAGCUGAAGAAAUUGCGCUUAAGAUGGAGGCAGAUGAAAAG
This 667-nucleotide small RNA is filed under the name Pongo abelii (Sumatran orangutan). RNAcentral describes it as "retained intron". The record is from RNAcentral. Lineage: Eukaryota; Metazoa; Chordata; Mammalia; Primates; Hominidae.